UACGGAGGGUCCAAGCGUUAUCCGGAAUCAUUGGGUUUAAAGGGUCCGUAGGCGGUUUUGUAAGUCAGUGGUGAAAGCCCAUCGCUCAACGGUGGAACGGCCAUUGACACUGCAAGACUUGAAUUAUUGUGAAGUAACUAGAAUAUGUAGUGUAGCGGUGAAAUGCUUAGAGAUUACAUGGAAUACCAAUUGCGAAGGCAGGUUACUAUCAAUAUAUUGACGCUGAUGGACGAAAGCGUGGGGAGCGAACAGG
This 253-nucleotide ribosomal RNA is filed under the name uncultured bacterium. RNAcentral describes it as "partial 16S ribosomal RNA". It matches the Rfam family "Bacterial small subunit ribosomal RNA", at positions 524 to 776 of the family's 1533-position model. The record is from RNAcentral.